This 500-nucleotide ribosomal RNA is filed under the name uncultured bacterium. RNAcentral's name for it is "bacterial SSU rRNA". It matches the Rfam family "Bacterial small subunit ribosomal RNA", at positions 36 to 524 of the family's 1533-position model. The record is from RNAcentral.
AAGACUGGCGGCAGCUUACAAUGCAAGUCGAACGGUAGCAGGUUAGUACUUGUACUAAUGCUGACGAGUGGCGGACGGGUGAGUAAUGCUUGGGAAUCUGGCUUAUGGAGGGGGAUAACUACGGGAAACUGUAGCUAAUACCGCGUAAUAUCGUAAGAUUAAAGGGUGGGACCUAUUGGCCACCUGCCAUGAGAUGAGCCCAAGUGGGAUUAGGUAGUUGGUGGGGUAAAGGCCUACCAAGCCGACGAUCUCUAGCUGGUCUGAGAGGAUGGCCAGCCACACCGGGACUGAGACACGGCCCGGACUCCUACGGGAGGCAGCAGUGGGGAAUAUUGCACAAUGGGGGGAACCCUGAUGCAGCCAUGCCGCGUGAAUGAAGAAGGCCUUCGGGUUGUAAAGUUCUUUCGGUGAUGAGGAAGGCGGUUGUUUUAAUAGAACAAUUGAUUGACGUUAAUCACAGAAGAAGCACCGGCUAACUCCGUGCCAGCAGCCGCGGUAAU